UCCUGCAGGAUCAUUUCCACCGGCUUGUCUGCAGCAGUGAAAGGGAAAAGGUCUCUGUGCCAAUCCGGGCCAUUGGUGCCCGCCCAGUCUUGGACUUCCCUGACCAGCUGGACUUCUCGUCGUGUCCAGUCAAUCACAGCACCCAGCAGACUCUGCUGGUUCACAACACCGGGAACCUGGAAGCCUGUUACAGCCUCAGCACUGAGAGCCCUUUCACUGUCAGCCCAGCCACGGGAACCCUCGAUGUUGGUGAAGCCAAGCAAGUGACAGUGGAAUAUCACCCGCUGCAGACCGGGCACCAUUCCACAUCCCUGGCAGUGCACUGCGACAGAGAAUUGCCUGGGAUCUGAGUGGGUCACCUGAGCACACCUGACAAAUCUCACUGUAAAUACUGUCACCUGGGGACAAAUCUCUACAAACCCA
Long non-coding RNA from Pseudopipra pipra, 423 nucleotides. RefSeq lists it as uncharacterized. Lineage: Eukaryota; Metazoa; Chordata; Aves; Passeriformes; Pipridae. The record is from RefSeq and is a predicted model, not a curated record. The transcript is spliced from 3 exons.